Long non-coding RNA from Rhea pennata, 2565 nucleotides. RefSeq lists it as uncharacterized. The transcript is spliced from 2 exons. The record is from RefSeq and is a predicted model, not a curated record. Lineage: Eukaryota; Metazoa; Chordata; Aves; Rheiformes; Rheidae.
AUUUAUUUUCUAUUAAUGUAUAAUGCCAACGCAUAUUUUCUACUUCUAUUUGUGUGAAAAUGAAGGCAUGAAUAAAUUUGUAGCAGUUUAAAUUGACUGGAAAAAAUUGUAUGUAAUAUUGCCAGAAGAAGUCAGGUUACAGAUUAGUUAACUAUUAUCUUGCCAUUUUAUUUAUAAAGAGAAAUACAAAACAAGGUGUUCUUUACUCAGGAAAGAACUGGAGUUUAUCAUAAACAAUGGUUGUUUAAUAUUUGUUGUGCAUCAGCUAACAAUAUACCAAGAUCUGUAUGUAUCUAUUUAUCUGUCCAAUCUUCAGAUGGCAAAAUGAAUCUAGGAGAGUACAACCACAUUUAUACUGUAUACAAACUGAAAUAAUGUGCAGAAUCUAAUACGGAAGGAAUUCAAGAUUUCAGGUCUGCAGGAUGUAUCCUGCUGGCUAAUCCAAACAGAUAAAAAACAGAUCUGGGGAUUCAACUGCCUUGAGCCACCCAGAGCACAUACAGUGCAUCAAGCUGGACUUUAUCGCCACCUCUCACCCUGGGCUAACAGGAGACAGUAUUAUCUCUUUCAGUAGUCCAAUCCAAUGUCCCGGAUCCCUGAGUCCUUUGCUUCAGAGCCAGGCUUUUUAAAGUAUUUACAUGCAUAACUCCCUUUAACCUCAGAGGGUUUCAUAAUGUAGGCACCAAAGCACCUUAACCGUCUCCUUUAUCAGUGUUUUUGAUUGAGAAAGGUAAGUUUGGAUUUGGCUCAUGAGUCAGUAACUCUUCACUAGCCUGUUUUUUCUUACUAUUUUUGCUAUUUAUUUGUCUUUCAGUAGUAGAGCAUGGAGAACCCCUGGCUGCAACAGGAGCUAGCAAAUUCUGGGUGAGAUAGUUCCUCUCUGAAGAUCACUGCCAUUUCUGCAUUUCCCCCCCAGGAGCAGAGCAAGGAUUAAUUUAAUCUAUGUUUAUUUAAGAUUGGCUGUGCAUUGCCCCAGGGCACUGACUGGCUUGCGGCCAGGCAUGGACAGAUGUGCGCCAGAGCUGACUGCAGGCUCCUCGCCUUCUGAAAGCUGGGUUUCUACAUGCUUCACAAAACCAAGGGCAUUGAGGACCCCCCAGGCAAUCAAAAGGCACCUAGCAGGUGUCUGUGGCGCUGUAAGGACCUUGCAGAAAGGACAUAAGGUUGCAAAGUCCUUUCUCUCUGGACUAAGCAUGGCUGGAGUCACAAACAGGAGUAAAACAACCCAGAAAGAUGCUCCUGCUAGGGCUGGCAGAGAGAGAAAAACCUUCUGAAGCCGGGAAAGGGAGAGAUCUCGUCCAGGGUUCAGGGUGCUUCUUUCCUCUGCACUGACUUCAACCAUCCUCUGGAGAUGGAGACCAGAAGAGAGGCAGGAGAAGGAGCCAUGUUGUGUCUUGCUUCCUGUGUGGUUUCCUUUCCUUGCCCAUCACUUUCGUUAUCCAGAAUUUACUUUUCUGCUAGUCUACUAAUGUUAGCUCAGCAGCUCUGGCACUUUCCAAAGACACUUAGAGACCUUAGCCUCACGCUAGAGUUUUUUCUCCAGUCCAAAACACCACCUGUGUAAACCUCCCAGUCCUCUUUCUGAUGAGAAAACUGCUACGUUUUCAGGUAUAACACCCAGGUGGUAAAUAGCAACCAAAUGGCAAUUGCGGAACACAAGAUGUCUGGUCUCUCUUGUGAGAAAAGCAUGAGCUACUACUAAGAGCACCUACCAGAAGCUUGCUAGUACUUCAGCCACAGUGAGACAAACUCAGCUUUACUGUCUACCAUGAGGAACCUGGCUUUGGAGAAGUUUAUAAAAGUUAUGAGAUAUUUUUAUCCUCCACAUCUCUUUCUUCAAGAUGCUAUUGAAACUAGAAGACAAACACUUUGGAUGAUGAUAAAUGGGAACGGGAACAAGGCACUUGAUCUGUAAUUUUACGGAAAAAUUCCAUUAUUAUUUAGAGAUUCCUGGAUGGAUGAAGGCCUGAAAAGUCACCUGGUAAAUGAUGUUUUGAAAAGCAACUACAGGGCUGUCACUCUAUAGCUUGAAGUCACAAGCAAAAAAUGGCUUAUAUAGAAGAAAAAGCCCUUUUUUCUGAGGAGAUAGGAAGGCUGACAGAACCUCUGCUAUGGCUGAGGAACAAAUGAAUACAGAAGAAAAUAGUUACAGAACCCAUUACAAGAUGAAAUUAUUAAUAUUAACUGUAGUCAAGAGUCAGAAUGGUGAAUGAGGGAAAUAUACUGGAAGAAAAAACUGAAUAAAUCCAAGAAAGACUACAUGAACUUUACUUGACUCUGAUAAAUCUUUCUGGCAGCUUUCAAAUAUCUGUGGCAAUUUGUAUGGAACCAAAUGGAAAAUUAAGCAAAGACUUUAUUCCUUGCAUAUUCAAAAACUGAUAAUAAUUUCUUUUGGUGUUUUAUUAUUGCCGUAGAUUACAUUUCUUGUAUACUACUUGAAUGGAACCCUUUUGACCAUGGAGGGAAUCAAAACAGCUUAUCUGAAGCUCUGAUUAAUAAAAAUCUCCCUUUGUGUGGAAGUGUUGCCUAACUUUCAAAAUGGAAAUUAAAAACCUGAAUUUCGCA